Molecule: long non-coding RNA, 92 nt
Organism: Haliotis rubra (blacklip abalone)
Lineage: Eukaryota; Metazoa; Mollusca; Gastropoda; Lepetellida; Haliotidae
Exons: 3
Source: RefSeq, a predicted model, not a curated record
CAGUCCUUUUCUGUGUGCUGGGCCCCGUUCCUCAAAGCGAUCAUAGCUACAAUCAGUUGUAAGCCCUACGAUCAACUUUACAAUUAUCGUAA